CAAUGGCGUAUAUUAAAGUUGUUGCAGUUAAAAAGCUCGUAGUUGGAUUUGUGGCGUACGGUGGGUUCCGGGCACUUGUUGUCUGAGUAACUUGCUGUUGCCAUCCUUGGGUGGAACCUGUGUGGCAUUAGGUUGUCGUGCAGGGGAUGCCCAUCAUUUACUGUGAAAAAAUUAGAGUGUUCAAAGCAGGCUUAUGCCGUUGAAUAUAUUAGCAUGGAAUAAUGAGAUAGGACUUUUUUGCUAUUUUGUUGGUUUGCGCAAAGAGGUAAUGAUUAAUAGGGACAGUUGGGGGUAUUCGUAUUCCAUUGUCAGAGGUGAAAUUCUUGGAUUUUUGGAAGACGAACUACUGCGAAAGCAUUUACCAAGGAUGUUUUCAUUAA
Molecule: ribosomal RNA, 380 nt
Filed under: uncultured eukaryote
Lineage: Eukaryota
Description: partial 18S ribosomal RNA
Rfam family: Eukaryotic small subunit ribosomal RNA
Source: RNAcentral